GGAGAGAUGGCCGAGUGGUUGAAGGCGCUCGACUCGAAAUCGAGUGUGCUGUGUUGAGCAGUACCGUGGGUUCGAAUCCCACUCUCUCCG
RNAcentral lists this transfer RNA (90 nucleotides) under Desulfotomaculum copahuensis. It matches the Rfam family "tRNA". From Rfam's summary of the family: Transfer RNA (tRNA) molecules are approximately 80 nucleotides in length. Their secondary structure includes four short double-helical elements and three loops (D, anti-codon, and T loops). Lineage: Bacteria; Bacillati; Bacillota; Clostridia; Eubacteriales; Desulfotomaculaceae. The record is from Rfam by way of RNAcentral.